CAUAUGAAGGUUCCUAGGCCAGGGAUCAAAUUGGAGCUGUAGCCGCCGGUUCAUUCCAGAACCAUAGCAACACCAGGUCCGAGCCCCAUCUGUGACCUACACCACAGCUCACAAGAACAGAUCCUUAAUCCAUUGAGGGAGGCCAGGGAUUGAACCCACCUCCUCAUGGAUGCUAGUUGGGUUUGUUAACUGCUGAGCCAUAAUGGGAACUCUUUCAGCAGUUCUUUACUAUAAAAAAUCAUGUUUGGGGUGGGUGAGGAAUGGAAGUAUAUGACAUACUUCUCAGGUAUAAAAUUAUACUCUAACUUCAUUUUUUGCCCUGUUGGUGAUGAAAAUAAGUUAUGGUCAAUAAUACUUUCAUACUCUCAUCUGAGCAGAAUCUGUAAAAGAUACUGCUGUAUUUUAUAGUAAAGCAAAUUCCAGUGAAUAAGAAGUAUUUUAUGUUCUAUUUGUUCAAAUGUGAACAAUUUAUCAAGAAGAAAUAAAGACCUUAUCAUUAAUUAGUAACACAUUAUUUUAAGUUAUCUCUUUCUUUUUUCUUUUGUCUUUUUAGGGCCACACCUGCAACAUGUGGAAGCUCCAGGCCAGGGGUUGAAUUGGAGCUUCAGCUGCCAGCCCAUCACCAUAGCCACAACAAUGCAGGAUCCAAGCUGUGUCUGUGACCUAUAUCACAGUUCACGGCAACGCGAUCGUUAACCCACUGAGUGAAGUCGGGGAUUGAACCUGCGUCUUCAUGGAUACUAGUUGGAUUCAUUACCGCUGAGCCGCAAUGGGAACUCCCUAAGUUAUCUCUUUCUAUAGGUGCAAAUAAAGCAUUAAUAUAUGGAGAGUGUAAGAGGUAUUUUUCAUUCUGUAAAUGUAAUUUGAUCAAAUAUAUUCCAGAAUUAUAAAGCAGCCUAUUCUUUAUACACUGCUCUCCGAGUAGAAUUUUCUGUGGAGAAAGUACUCUCUACUCACACUGUCUAAUAAAGUAGCCAUUAGACACAAACGACUAUUGAGAACUUAAAAUAGAACUAGUAAAACUGAGGAACUCAAUAAUUAUUGUAUUUCAGUUAAUUUUAAUUUUGCAUGGUUGCGGACUAUUAGCUACUAUUAGACAGUAUAGACUUGAGGACUUGGAGGAUGAAGGACAGUGUCCAGUCUGGUAUGACAAUUUUUUUUUUUUUUUGGCUUUUUAAGGCUGCACCCAGGGCGUAUGGAAGUUCCCAGGCUAGUGGUUGAAUAGGAGCUGUAGCUGCCAGUCUACACCAUAGCCACAGCAAGGACAGAUCUGGGCUGUGUCUGCAAACUAAUACCACAGCUCACAGCAAUGCUGGAUCCCUAACCCACUGAGCAAGACCACGGAUCAAACCCACAUUCUCAUGGUUACUAUUUGGGUUGUUACCACGGAGCCACAAUGGGAAAUCCCUGGUAUGAUUAUUAAUACCCUGGUUACAGUUAUUGUUUUUCACUUCUUCUGACAAUGCAAAUCAUACUCUUCUUACCAUGGAGCCUCCGCAUGUGUACGUCUUUUUUCAUGUGCCUCUGUGGAUUUCCCCUUUGAUGACUCCUUUCAUCCUUCAUAUUUAAGCUCAAAUACCACGUCAUGAGAUAGACCUUUCAUAAUAUAUCAAUCACUAACUUAAUGUACUCUCCACUACUACAACUAAUUACUCUGUUUCUCUACCCUGGUAUACAGUUUAUGUCUCCCAUAUAAUUUAUUAUAAACCCUAAUGUGUUGUGUACUACUUUACCUUUCUCACCUGUAUCUCAUCCAAUAGAACAUAAGAUUCAGUAGGGCACAGAUCAUGGCGAUCUAGGCAUCAUUCUCUCUAGUGCCUACUGUAGCCAUUAGACACAUACGGCAAAUCUGCUGAUAUUACGUUGUGUGAAGAUGCUCAGUCAGUGUAUUUGAAUAAAUAGAAUGACAGUUAUAGGAAUUUGAAGUCUAGUGCCUACCGUAAUUCCUAUUACUUUGCCUGUUGAAUGAACACAGAUUAUUUCCUAAUUUAUUUUGUCAAACUAUUUUCUCCCUUCCUUUCAACAUUUAAGAUAUUAUCUUAAUAAAAUGUCUUAUAGUUUUCACUCAGAAUUUUGUUGCAAAAAAUUAAAACUACUUGAAAGGUAUCUCUAAUGUAAUACAUUCUGUUUACAGAGCCUUCCUCCACUAUGACAGCCAAAUUCUUCCUCCCACACUCUUAAUCCCAUUACUGUUUGGCUUUGCCUCUCACUGUUCUGCCAAAUUGUUCUAUCAACAUUUUAAUCAAAUUCCAAACCAAGGUGGAUUUAUGGUGAACCUUAUUAUGCUUAAGGCCUGGGGCCUCUCUCUUUCAUGGCCACUCCUGUCUCUCUAAUUUGGAGGGCCCUAAUUUAAGUUUUUCAGUAAAAUCUGCAAAAUUGAAGGAUUUUUACACCAAAUAGUUAAUACCACUCCUUCUGCCACUUCAGUAUUUCUUUUCCAUCUCUCCUUGAGUUAGAGGACAAUGGUUGGGCAUUUGGGGAAUCCAGCCAAGGGCAAGUUGAUUUGGAGACAUUGAAUUUUGGCUUUUUAGAAUAGAUUCAUAUUGUUUAUAAUAAUUCUGUAUGUAUUUGUUAUUUCUGGCUAAAGUGCUAUAGGAAUAUCUUCUAGGAAUACUCUCCACUCAUUGUGCAAAUUCACCUGAAAUUGUGUCAUGAAGGUGCAGUUGAGUAGAGCCUAAGCAUCCGGUAUGUGGAUGUAGGCAGCAUAGGAGUAACAAAUCUUGAAAAUAUAGUAUCAGAUGCUCAAUUGUGCAAAUGUAUCCAGUCAUCAGAUGUGUAGAAUCACAAGCAAUGUUUUAGUUCUUAUAGAUGUCUAGUCAGAAUGAAUGUUCUUAUCUGUAAGGAAUAUACUUGAUGAUGUAGUGCAAAUAAGUAUAUAUGCACUUUAUUUUCUUUUUCCUAUGUGAAUUGUGAAAAACAAUUUAUCAAAAUCACAUAUUCAUAGUGUCAUAAUAUAAGCAGUAAAUACAUCUGUAUUUGAGAUGAAAUUUUAAUGAAUCUCCACAUGUUGGAUUUAAUCUUACUAUAUCUGACACCUCAUAUCUUGAAGAGUAUGGUGGUGCUAUUAUUUAUAGCUCUUUUUACUAAAUAUGACUAAAUAAAUAGGAAAUCCAGGGAUAAAACCUCAAAUAUUUAUUAAUACUCAAUGUAUAUUACAUACUAAUUUAUUUGAACAUUAGGUUACUUGAUAGACUAUAGUGCCAAUUCAUUUAAUUUGAAUUGUUUUUUGCCUUAAUUUCAAAUUAAUAUUAAGAAUUAUUGGUUCUGAACAAAUUCACAUAAAAAGGAAAUAUGUUAAAUGAUAGCAAGAAGAUUGCUACAAAGUUUAAUACACAAACUCAUUAUAUUUUCACAGGAACCUACAAAUUUUAUUGUCCAAAUUCAUGAAAGGAACUUUUCCAAAUGAUAUUAAAAAUUAAAAACAACCAAUUAGAGAAAAGACUACUGUUUUUACUCCUCUUCAGAAAUAAUACUGUGAAAUCCUAGUCAUACAAAUACAUUAGCAAAGAGCAUGCAGCCAAACAUUUACAGAAAAAAAUAGAUUUGUCAGGCAUUUACUUAAUAAAAUUACUAUAUUAUUUUUCUCUGAAUUUAUAUUUGUGGUAUGUGCCACUUCUCUAAAAAAAAAACCCUCUAAUAUGAUAUAAACUCUUUUGUCACUCUAAAUAAUACAUAAUAUUGUACCUAAUUUUAAAUGUAAUGAUUCAUAUUAUUAAAUAAUAUGAACUUUAAAUACACCAAGCCUGGAAGGGACUCUGGUUCCAGGCAGCUGUGGCCACUGAUCAAUUUUCAGUCCUCACAACAGCAUUUGUAUUGUUGAUCACCCCUUUCUCCUGGAUACACUUUUUCCUCUGGCUCAACCACAACACUCAUGCUUCCUUCCUAUCAUCCUCUCAAUACUUUUCUUAUACCUGCUUUCUUUGAGAUUUAAUAUUUCAUCUCAGGGCUAGAUCAGUACUGACAAAAUGCAACACAGUUGGUAUUUUGAAACAUCCAAAAUUUCACUUCCACCCUGAGUUCUCAACUCGACUUCUAUAAAUAACCUCAUGCUCAAUCUUUUUGUGUGAGUAGCUACUGAGCAUCACAAACUUAAUUUAUCCCAGCUGAACUGCUGAACCUUUCUUCAAAACCCACUCCUUCUGCUGACAUUUCAGUUACUAGCAACUCCUCACUGGCCAUAUCUUGCCUUGUAUCUUUCCAUUGACCUUGAUUUGUUACAGUAUCUCAAACAUAUUAGGUGUUCUUCUGUCCCAGAACACUGGUAUUUUCAUACUCUGUGUUUGGAAUACUCUUCCCUCAAAUUUACAGAUUAUUUAAUAACUUGCAAAUCCUGGUCUUCAUUUCAAGUGGCACUUUCUCAAUGGAGCCUCCCCCGACUCCACUGAACUUCCUGUCCUAACAGUAGUUAAUCCUUUUUGUGUUUUAUUUUCCUCAUUGAAUAUAUUAUGUGUUCAUUUAUUGAUUUUGUUAUACCUUGUUUAUGUAUUUCUUUUUUACACUUAUCUCUUCCCAUUAGAAUGAAGGUAGGAAUGGUUUUUCUUUGAUUAUUUUGUAAACUACUGACUUUUCAAUUUGUAAAGUCAUACCUUGCAUAUAAAACUCUUUAAAUAUUUUUUGACUAGAUAGUAGAUAAAUUAAAAGUAUUGUUUAUUUAUAUACUCCCCCAAAGUUAUUUUUCAUUGUGUACCCUUAUUUUAAAGACAUGUCUCAAUUUUGAAAAGAUAAAAAGCCAUUUAAAACUUCUAUAAUGAAGGAAUUGCUGGAAAUAAUAAAUAUUCCAUUUAAUUACAUGAUAAUAGAUUUACAAGGAGAUCCUGCUGAAUAGCAUUGAGAACUAUGUCUAGAUACUCAUGUUGCAACAGAAGAAAGGGUGGGGGAAAAACUGUAAUUGCAAUGUAUACAUGUAAGGAUAACCUGACCCCCUUGCUGUACAGUG
RNAcentral lists this long non-coding RNA (4936 nucleotides) under Sus scrofa (pig). Its description in RNAcentral is "lncRNA (ENSSSCG00000054742.1)". Lineage: Eukaryota; Metazoa; Chordata; Mammalia; Artiodactyla; Suidae. The record is from RNAcentral.